ACCUGGGUUAGUGAAGAACUUCCAAAUGUCUCCUUGGAAAGAUACACUCCUCAACCUGCUUAGAAGUAUGGAAAAGAAGUAUCUCUUCCAGUCCAGUGAAAGUACGCUCUAGUCUCCACUCCCGGCUGGGGGGCAAUUCUGGGCAGCGCUAUCCAUGGUCUUGUUCACUUCUCCUUCCCAUAUGGCUACCAGGAUUGGCAGCUGACGAGACAUCCACAACUAUCCAGAGGCUUUAGAAAGAUCCUCUUCUGGAACACAGGCAGAGGGCUUUGGAGAGGCAUCCGCACCAGCAGAUGGCAAUGCAGGAAGAAUGGCAAAAAGCACCUAAAGGCUGAGGUCCAACCAAGGAAAACUAUGAAAAACUGAUGCAUAUUCUUGUAAUUUUUCUCUCUCCACAAGGUAUUUUUUUUAAAAAUCAAACAGAAAAGGCUAAUUAAAAAAUGCACAGAU
Long non-coding RNA from Hemicordylus capensis (graceful crag lizard), 450 nucleotides. RefSeq lists it as uncharacterized. Lineage: Eukaryota; Metazoa; Chordata; Lepidosauria; Squamata; Cordylidae. The transcript is spliced from 4 exons. The record is from RefSeq and is a predicted model, not a curated record.